Molecule: long non-coding RNA, 1026 nt
Filed under: Theobroma cacao (cacao)
Lineage: Eukaryota; Viridiplantae; Streptophyta; Magnoliopsida; Malvales; Malvaceae
Description: long non-coding RNA (TCAC_LNC002317)
Source: RNAcentral
UAAAAUUUAAUUAUAUUCAUAUAUACUAUAAAGCAAAUAACCAAAGCAUAAAAUUACUUUUACAGCGACACGUGGGCCCACAUCUAACCAAAAUGCAUCGAAAGUUGAAAACCUACAGCUUUUGUCGAUUCAAGUCCAAAUGAAGGUCCUUGUCAAAGUCGGCUAACUAUGGAAUUCCCUGAGCCUAAAAUGUGAGGAAAUGAGGGUGGUGAAAUUAUAAAAUCCCAGUGAGUAAACAGACACCAUCUAAACUAUCUAAAGGCAAGUAAAUGGAGACGAAUUAAAAUAUUCUUUUCCAAUAUAUGUUUUAUAACAUGAAUAUUCAGUUUACUCAAUUAAUCAACAUGGCUUAUAUAUCUUACAAAACUUGGCUCUUGCCAAAAUUAUUCUCGAAGAUGCCUUGGCCUAGGCAUCUGACCGAGACCACCAAGGCUAUUAAAUAUCUUUACAUCCGAAAUUCUAGCCAUGCCUUGGCGUUGGCUGAGUCUCACUCUCACGCGGUGGUCCACGUGAACUGCACUCAAAUCUUUACCUCCAGAGAAACCCUCCACACGGCUCUCCGAUCGAGGUAAGGUAUAUCUGAUUCUGUGCCCCCUUUCUUAGGCUGGUCCACAAAACCUCCACUGUAGGAAUUAUAGAUUAUUUUAUCUACCACCUGAUUUAUAAAAUCUUUAUUUGCAUGACAUGGUAAUUUAUCGAAAUCUAGCCUCUCAAGGCUGAAUACAUAGUAUAUAUAUAAUUUUGAUACAAAUACCAACUUUGCCAUUCAUGCUCACAUAUUGCUAUAAGCCAUGUAAUUUAAAACACAAUUUAUAACACAAGCGGGCAGUCUCACAUUACUCUAUUUUCAAAACCAGUAUUCAAUUUUCCAGAAAAUUUAUAAAAUCACAAUUUCUCUUAAAACAUAGCAAUUUACCAUUUAAACCCAUUUUUUAUAAAAUCACACAAUUGUGUAAAACUACUCUAGAUAAUUAAGACGAUAAUAAGUUUACUCACAGUUUUAGAAGUCGAUGUACUCCUAAUCCU